Pipra filicauda (Wire-tailed manakin) is the source of this 4200-nucleotide RNA transcript. It is a transcript of the gene named mitogen-activated protein kinase 15, with no coding region annotated. The transcript has 15 exons. NCBI's taxonomy places the organism in Eukaryota, Metazoa, Chordata, Aves, Passeriformes, Pipridae. The record is from RefSeq and is a predicted model, not a curated record.
GCGGUACCGCUGCGCGUGCGCGGGGCGCGGGGCCGUUUCCAUGGCAGCGGGAGCCAACAGGGAGGCGCCGCCAUGAGCCCGCCCGAGGUGGAGCCGCUCGUGUGCCAGAAGUACGAGAUCAAGAGGCGCCUGGGCAAGGGGGCCUACGGCAUCGUCUGGAAAGCAAUCGACCGCAGGACAGGAGAAAUAGUUGCUGUUAAAAAGAUUUUUGAUGCUUUCAGAAACAGGACAGAUGCUCAGAGAACGUUUCGAGAGAUUAUGUUCCUGCAGGAAUUUGGAGAACAUCCAAAUAUCAUCAAGCUGCUCGAUGUUAUCCAAGCUGAGAAUGACAAGGAUAUCUACCUCAUCUUCGAGUCCAUGGAGACAGAUUUACAUGCUGUUAUUAAGAAGGGGAAUUUGCUGAAAGACAUCCACAAGUGUUACAUUCUCUACCAGCUCCUGAAGGCAACUAAAUUCAUCCACUCGGGGAAUGUCAUUCACAGGGAUCAGAAGCCUUCCAAUAUCCUGCUGGAUGCAGAGUGCUGUGUGAAGCUGUGUGACUUCGGGCUGGCCCGUUCCCUGUGCCAGCAGGGCGAGGAGCAGCCCAGCCCCGCGCUGACCGAGUACGUGGCCACGCGCUGGUACCGCGCCCCCGAGAUCCUCCUGGCCUCUCGCAGUUACACUAAAGGUGUAGACAUGUGGAGCAUUGGCUGUAUUCUGGGAGAGAUGCUGCUUGGGAAGCCUCUUUUCCCUGGAACAUCAACAAUGAAUCAAAUAGAACAGAUCCUAAGGGUCAUCCCUGCUCCGUCCCCAGAAGAUAUUGUGGCUCUGCAGUCAGAGUACAAGGCCUCAGUUAUUAACCACAUGAGUUCCCGGCAGCGAGUAACAUUUGAGGAGAUUUUCCCAUCCUCUACUCCACUACCUGCCUUGGAUCUGCUGAAGAAACUUCUGGUAUUUAACCCUGACAAACGGCUCACAGCAGAGGAGGCUCUGCAGCAUCCUUAUGUGAACAGAUUCCACUGUCCUUCCAGGGAGCCCUCUUUGGAUUAUAAUGUGGUCCUUCCUUUGGGUGAUGAUGUCCAGCUGUCUGUGGCAGAAUAUCGAAAUAAAUUAUAUGAGUUGAUCCUUGAAAAAAAAUCAAGGAGCCUUCUAAAGGAGCGAGGGCGGAGAGAAAACAUUCAGCUGAGCCAGUCUGAAUCCAGCCCACUUCUCCCAAAUUUCAGCCCAGUGACUGUACCCACCAGAAAAGUCCAGCAAGAACCAGCACCUCCUCUCCUAAACCCUUCACAUGUGCAUGCAGGAGCCACAGCUGGAGUCCAGCCAACAGGAUCCAGCCAGAGCAAGGAUUUGGCCAGAACUGUGUGUCAGAGAUCACAGAUCAGUGUGAUGAUGUACAACCCCAUCACACACACCACUGUGCAGAGAAAUGCAAAUCCUGGUGCUGGGAUCAGGAACUUUUCUGCACCACCUCAGCAACCCAGAAUCUCCACCAGUGGGAAACUAGGGAGACAAAUCUCAUGGACAAACACUGGGCUCCCUCCUACAAGUGUGCAGAACCUUUACAAUAAUCCCAGAAACUCUCAGUGUCACAGCAAAGAUGUUCGUCCCCUUCUGAAGCCCAGUAAAAAGAUGUUCCAGAUCACUGCAAAUGUGGGAGCUGCGGGUGAUCCAAGAGCAUCGAUGGGCAGCUACUCCCAGGCCUAUGGAACCAUCAGUAAAUCUGCGCUGCAGAGUCUUCCGAUAACAAAGGCCUCCCAAAACCCCGAGUGAAUGUGGAGACGUUCCAGCCAGAAAGCAGAGUUCCAUGAGAUACUAUUGCUGAGACAUCGUGAAGGUGUUACCAGGCUACAGUGGGACUACAGGAAACUUUAUAUUCCUGUUUUAAUGCGGAUUUUGGAUACAUUCUCCUCAUUAACUUGAAGUUCUUGUCUGUGUCCCUGAAGUUUUACUCCACCUGUGAUAAAUGAUUGUUAUUCCAGAACAUUGGAACUACAGUUACCAAGGGGAUUCAGGUGCUGAAUUCCAGCAUGUAACCUGAAACAGCUUUGGUGUGGGUGACUGUGCCCCGCUCUGUGUCCUUGCCCACGGCUUUGUACUUCUCCAGCAGCUCAGCCACUUUGGAGGAGGUGGCCGUCUUGAUGGUUUCAUUGUCCUUCGUCACCUCACUGGACAUCUGCUCUUUUUGGAUCAUCUGCACCUUUUCUAUUGUGGUGUUGGGCUGAUCUAAUUUGGCAGCACUGAAAAUCAGAGAGGACCUGAGCCUGGAACUCCUCUGGAUCAAGGGAUUUAUCCUGGACCUGAAGGCAUCUGGUUUCAUUAUCGAGGUUUCUUCACCUGCUCUAUCAGGAUCCGCAAAUUCCUUGGCACUGUCAAUUCCCAGUGCCUUGCUAUUGAAAGAUGUGGGGGAUUUGAAGGCUGGGAUGAGGUCAGCGGGGUGCUUUGGGAGGGGAUCCCCAAGAGCAUCAUUAUACGCCUCGGACUCCAUCGGCAUUGGGAGCCCUUCAUCCGGUUCAGACUGGUACGCGCUGAGGUACGAAGAUAUCCUCCAGUUCCGUAACCCUGUUCUGUUUUCCUGUGUGUUCUUGUCAUCGUCCUGGUCCUCGUCCUUGUCCUGUAGGAACAAGCGCUGCUCCAGGCUCUGCUUCUGCGUGGGAGAAGUCUGGCAAAUGAAUUUCUGUCCUAUAUUCUGCCUCCGUAACAUCAUUCCCAUCGGGCCAUUGCCUGCAGGGUUCAGCUGGUCGGAGCCGUGUCUCACCUCCCUGGAAGAAUUUGAGGGUACGUAAUCCAGCCGUAAGGGGAAACCUUCCUGUGAGAAACUGGGUUCCAGUUCAGGGUAUCGGGGUCCCUCUCCAUAGUCUUCCAGUUCAUUGAAUCCCGGCCUUCCCCCUCGAAUCCUGUCAAAGAAUCCCUGAGGUCUGCCAGAGAGAUGGGGAUGUUCAAACUGGUACUGGUAGAACUGGUCCUUCUGGAAAUGACUGGAUUGGAUUUUGAACUCAUCCAUGUUGUUCAUGAACAUCUGCCGGGCAUACUGCUUGGAAGAAGCAAAAUUUUCAAAUGUUCCUUCUGCAAAACUGUGUCUCUUAAAGGCAUCCAGCUCUAGCUGCUUGGAACGGAGGAAGCCCCUGACCGGAUCCAUCUGGGAAUUCUCCAUUUCCACCUUUUUAUACAUCCGCAUGGCUGACCCCUCCACGGUGUGCCGCAGCAUGUCAUCCCGCCGAAAAUUGGAGAGGAAGUACCUGUCCGGAUCCACUCUGUCCAUGAAGGAGGGGAAGAGACUGUCAUCCCUCUGGAACAUCAGGGGGCCUUUUUUGGGAAAGAAAGGCAUGUUAUUGCCAAAGGGAGCCAUGGCGAAGGCAUUCUCUGCCUUUGCCAGGACAUUGGCUGGAGGAACGAGAGGUUCCGACUGUGCAAACAAAAUGCGGAAUUCCUCAUCAAAGCUGGCCACCAGCUCGCCCUGGAAGAUGUGCGCGAUGCUCCUGUGGAUCUUCUCGAAGGACCACAUGAAACUACGGAGAGAACAGAAGUGAUGGAGGGUAUUAGCAUUGAGUAACUCAGCCGUACCCCUUUUCAUUAAAGCGUUUGCUUGCCUGAAGGAAAUUCUGAAUUUUCUGCUCAGGUAGAAAUAUGGCAAAAUAAUGACAGAAAAUUCCCCUGUAGCCACUUGUUACACAUGAUCGUUCCCUAACCUCACAGUUAGGUAUUGAUUUGGGAUCACAUCUUUGCAGAGGAUUUUACAAGGCAACAAAUGACUUCUGUUCUAAAAAGCCAGUCAGUAGUGUCCACAGCCAGAGAAUGAGGGGAUGAUUAUUGUUAUGUGAAGUAGAUGUUUCUGUCUUUAACACUGUCGAUAAUGACUGGGACAACAGUCAGUGUGUGCCCUCUGCACUUGGCAGGUGACACCAGUCAGGGGACCCCAAAGGCUGGGGAGCUGUGCCAAUGGGAACCUCAGGAAAUCGAGCAGAGGCAAAUGCAGGAUCUUGCCCCUGCAGUGGCACAACCCUUCCACCCACAUAGGCUAGGGGGGACUGGACAGAAGGAGCUGGGCUGGAAAUGAGGGAGGAAGAUGUUCAGUGUUACAGCCUUUGUCUUCCCAAGUCAAGCUCUGCUUUUCUGGGAAUGGCUGGAUAUCUGCCGACCCGUGGGAAGCAGGGAAGAGAUCCCUUACUUUGCUUUGCCUGUGUGUGCCUGUUUGCUGUAGGUGUUAAACUGUAUCACAACCCA